UACGUAGGGUGCGAGCGUUGUCCGGAAUUAUUGGGCGUAAAGGGCUCGUAGGCGGUUUGUCACGUCGGGUGUGAAAACUCGGGGCUUAACUCCGAGCCUGCUUCCGAUACGGGCUGACUAGAGGUAUGCAGGGGAGAACGGAAUUCCUGGUGUAGCGGUGAAAUGCGCAGAUAUCAGGAGGAACACCGGUGGCGAAGGCGGUUCUCUGGGCAUUACCUGACGCUGAGGAGCGAAAGUGUGGGGAGCGAACAGG
RNAcentral lists this ribosomal RNA (253 nucleotides) under uncultured bacterium. Its description in RNAcentral is "partial 16S ribosomal RNA". It matches the Rfam family "Bacterial small subunit ribosomal RNA", at positions 524 to 776 of the family's 1533-position model. The record is from RNAcentral.